CCUAAACACCGCACGUGAUCUUCAUAAUUUUAAAUUCGUAUUUUACAGGAUCGUAUUCUCUAUCGAUUCGUUUUAAUGAAAUAAUUGUCUGGAGAAAAUAACUUUAUUAAAACUUUCUGAAGUAAAAGAAAAGACUAUAUAUAUUUAUAUUAAAAAAUUUGCAAUUAUCUAUUUAAAAUAAUUUAACAAAUACAUCAAUUAUUGGAGAAAAUGGUUGAAGCCAUCUUUAUCUUGUGGAUUUGGUCAAUAGUUUUCGUACAAAUGAUUAAUUCAAUGCAAGGUAUUGCUGUUAAGAAAAAUAAUUCAAAAACAAAUGCUCUUCAAUCAAGUUUGUACGAUGAUAAAGAAAAGAUAAAAUACAGUGGAUUCAAUCAAAUAGAAGAAGAAGAUAUUCUAAAUGAAUUCUAUUCUGUUAAGGAUACGUGGUCCGGAUAUAAUAUUUCGAACCUGGUAAAACCGGUAUGGAAUGAUGAAUUAGCAAAACUGGCCAAGGAUUGGGGCGAUCAGUGUAAAAUGAAAUUCGGUCCGUCAACCUGUAAUAAUUUUUAUAAUCAGAGUCGAGGACUAUUUUCUAAUAGUUAUGAAGAUAUAUUUAAAAGUUGGAAAUCACAGAAAUUCUUCUACGAUCAUUUAAAUAACAGUUGUAAAGGUCCUUGUGACGAAUAUAAGCUGAUGAUGUGGGCGGAAGCAUACGCUAUAGGUUGUUCAAAAUCAUCUUGUGAGAAAUUAGGAUACAAAUAUUUAAUGGUUUGCAAUUUUUAUCCACCAAUGGAUAUGAAUAUGCCCCCAUUUAAGAUAGGGAAAGUAUGUUCUAAUUGUCCAGCUAAUUUUACUUGCAACCAAGAAAUGAUAAAAGCAGUAAAAUAGUACCGAAAGAAACGUUUGAGUGCAUAAAAAUUGAAUCAUCAUCUAUGCCCACAUCGGGAUUUCGACGUCAAUAUGAAAUUCAGAAGAACGUAUUAUUUACUGCAGG
This 973-nucleotide unclassified non-coding RNA is filed under the name Centruroides sculpturatus (bark scorpion). RNAcentral describes it as "peptidase inhibitor R3HDML-like, transcript variant X1". The record is from RNAcentral. Lineage: Eukaryota; Metazoa; Arthropoda; Arachnida; Scorpiones; Buthidae.